Molecule: long non-coding RNA, 3716 nt
Organism: Gymnodraco acuticeps
Lineage: Eukaryota; Metazoa; Chordata; Actinopteri; Perciformes; Bathydraconidae
Exons: 3
Source: RefSeq, a predicted model, not a curated record
CCAACUAAAUCGUGGUUCUAUCGAGGCCAACAAGCGGGGCCAACAACCGGGCGGAAUAUGCUAAACUAGUGACGACUGCUGAUUGGUCAGAGAGAAUCGUCACAAUUCUCGCGCGACUUAAUCCCUAGUGUCGCAUAUAUUAAGGGACGCUUGCAGCAUUUUUGUAAACCUAAGAAAAUGGUAAAGAAAAGCAUACCGUGGUCGAUUGACAAAGUUGCGACGUUCCUCCAGCUGAUUGCAGAUGAUAAAAUCCAGCGGGAGCUCGACGGCACAACUCGCAACCUAAACGUUUUUCAGGAGGUCUCUGCACUGUUGUCCGAACGCGGAUUCUCAAGGACUUUCCAGCAGUGUAGGGAAAAACUGAAAAAGCUUAAGAGUGAGUAUCGAGCCGUGAAGGACCACAACGGCCGGAGUGGUUCAGAUAGGAAAAGCUGGAAGUGGUUCGACCUGUUGGACACUAUUUAUGGCCAUAGACCGGCCAACGUUGGGAGGGAGGGAGGCCUGGACUCUGCAACCGCGUUACUGGAGUCCCUGCAUGAUGAUGCCAUUGGGACUAGUGAGGAGGAACAGUCCCGAACAACGGGUGGUGGCAGUGUCCGUCCUCAACAUCAUCAGAACGGACCUCAACUCGACCACAGACACCAGCCGAGGAACCGACACCAACGCCGAGUGCCAUCACGACACCGCAGCGUGUGGUUCUAGGCAAGAGGAAACGAGGAGGAGACGAGCACCUAGCACAGCAGGAACGGCACCAUGAACAGAGACUGGCCCAGGUGGAUCGGCACUGGCAGCUGACCAUGGAGGCUGCUGCCCGGGUGAGGGAGGAGGAAAUGGCCUUGAGAAGGGAGGAGAACGCUCAAACUCAUGCGUUUAACCUAGCCUUCCUGCACACUCUCGGCCAGGUUCUAGGGGGCAGCCGACGUGGCCCGUCUCCUCAGGAAGACAAACCACCUCUGUAAUUUUAAUAUUAUUCAGUUUCAUCUCUCUUGUUGUUGUUCAUUUGUAAAUGCAACAUUUGUACUUUCUUGUUUAUUUCUUAUCUUUCCUUUUUUUUUUUUUAUAUAAUGCCAUAUAUUUUUAUGCUGCUGCAAUACAAACAUUUUUUUAUUUUGUAUUUGUACAAUGCCAUGCCUUUUUAUGUUGCAACAAAAAACACUUCCCAAAUUGGGAUUCAAUAAAGUACUUCUCAUCUUAUCUCUUGUUGAUAAAUGCAUCAUCUUAUUUCCUGCCAUAAUCUGAUUAACAAACUGAUUUUCGUGAGCAUGUAAACAAAGUCACUGGGUUGCCACUCACACACAAAAUUACAGUUUUGGAAUCCAAUCAUAAACUCAAAUGUACAAUUAAAGGGCUUUAAAUCAGCAGAACAAAAACUCAGAUUCACAUGAGGCAGAAGUUAUAGGCCUAUAUUUUUCCUAAAUAAAAAUAGGCUACAACUAAUACCAUUACUAAUCAUAUUUGUGGAUCUUUAAAAAACAAAAGCCUACAAUAUCACUCAAAAACAAUUGUAAAAAUAGCCCAAUUAAGAUCUAGAGAUAUGAACAUACAUGAAUUUAUAAAGCAAUAAGAAACACCAUCCGUUAGGAAAAAGCUCAUAAGAUAAAAGUUAAUUUUAAGAAGAGGUUUAAAGCAAGAAAUUGAGUUUGCUUGCUUGAGGUCCUCCUCUAAAACAUUAUUUGGUAACUGACACAUUACUUAAAGUAAAAAUAUUUACUUUUACAAAUAAACUGGAAGGGGGUAUUUAGAAAAAAACAGAAAGAGAAGGGGGAUAAGAGAUCAUUUGUAUUUAUGUUUACUUUCAUAUUUGCUCAAAUGUUCUUAUUGUGGGGAAGUACUUACUGGUGCUUGAAAAUCAAAUAUUUACUAAAUAGUCAAUUCUGAUAACAUUUUUUUGUUUAAAUCAUUUGACAAACACAUAUGUGAAAGAGAAAAAAAGAUUUAUUUAUGUUCAAUACAAUGUAGUAAUAAUAAAAACAAAACAAAAUGUCACUAGCCUUAAUGGCCCACAAUCUUUCAAUGUCGUGUUUAUAAUUACAAACACAAGAAAUGUAUAUCACUGAACCAUGAUGUUAUGAACCAAAACAUUCAAGUUUCCUGUAUACAAUGAAUAUUUAGCUAUUCAGGUAGCGCAUCAAACCCUCUCGUAUUUCAGUGCUCUCCUCCUCUGCACCUUGUGCCACUGCUACCCCAGGCUCUGCUACUGCUGGUGCAUCCCACCCAUCAUCAUAGGCCUCUCCAUGACUCUCGCAGAGGUUAUGUAGAGCACAGCAUGUCAGCACCAUUGAUUUAACAAGUUUCACAUCACAGUCAUUUCUUUUCAUGAGGCAACGCCACCUUCCCUUCAGUCUACCAAAAGCGUUUUCUACCACUACCCGUGCUCUGCAAAUUCUCUUGUUGUAGAUCACAUGUUCUGCUGUCAGCUGUCCAUUGUCAGGGAACGUUUUUAUGAGCCAGUUUGGCAAGGGAUAGGCAUUGUCUCCCAGGAUGUAAUAGCCAGCAUUCACCCCACCAAUGUUCCUGGUGCAAGGUGGAAAGUAGUUGCCACGACUGGCUAACUUCCACAAUGAGGAUAGCCUCAAAACUUGAGCGUCAUGCAAGCUCCCAGGCAUUCCUGCAAACACAUUCCAGAAAUGUCCCUUUCCAUCUACAACUCAUUGAAGGGUGAUGGAGUGCCAGCCUUUACGGUUGAAAUAGUCGCAGUGGUAUUCCUGUGGUGCCAAGAUGGGUAUGUGUGAUCCAUCAAUAGCACCUACACACUGAGGGAGCCCCCACCUGUUCUCAGUGUAGGCAGCCAUUUCGGCAAACUGCUCCCGGUCUGGUGAACGAAUUAGUUCCAGUACUAACAACGUCUCUGCAGCAGCACAGAAGUCUUGCACACACCGACACACAGUUGUGUUGCUCACUCCGAAAAGAUGUCCAAUGCUUCUGUACUCUGAGCCGGUCGCAAGCUUCCACAGUGCGAUGGCCACCCUCUUCUUUAGAGGUAUACACUCGCGGAAUGGUGUGUCCUGUCUCUCCAUCGCUGGCCGCAGUUUGUUGCACAGGUAGACGUAGGUUUCCUCAGACAUCCUGAAGUUCUUCACCCACUGAGUGUGUGUGAAAGAUGGAACAAUCACACCCCACCACUCGGUUGCUCGGUCAAGCAUCCAAACACAUGGUCUGCGGUGGCAACCUAACUUCUGAAAUACACAAACAAAAGCAUACAUAUUUUAAUACGUAAAAGUGGUAGCUACAAUUUAUUAAAUACUUGAAACACUUUUGUCAUAUAAUGAGCGUGAAACACUUUGGUCGUAUAGUGAGCGUGAAACACAUUGCUAGUUAGCGAACGUUAGCUUACCGAGUAGCGUUGUCGUUGAGUCGUCCUGGAAUAGUCUCUGCCGCGUUGUACGAUUGCCAUAAGUCUCCCCUCAGCUUCUUCUGUAUUACGUCGUGCUAUAAGCAGCCUUUUCCGAAACAAAGUUUUCCUUCUUGCUGUGAUAAAAAACCACAUACCAAGAAGCAAGGACACGAUGGCUUCCACAUCCUCCAUUGUUGUUGUGUGUUUUGUGAGUUGUGUCGCAUUGAAGAUGACGUCACGGCAGUUGUAUGCAGCGUCGCUCCGCCCGCCAAAAAGCUGAUCGCCCCGCCUACACUGCGUUACUAUAGUAACUACCCCAGUUCCUAAACUGUAAUGGAAGCGCAGCAUUAAAGUGAGCCGGGCCUAAUAAGGCCAAACCAAA